This 576-nucleotide ribosomal RNA is filed under the name uncultured bacterium. RNAcentral describes it as "partial 16S ribosomal RNA". It matches the Rfam family "Bacterial small subunit ribosomal RNA", at positions 355 to 926 of the family's 1533-position model. The record is from RNAcentral.
CUAAGAAUAUUCCGCAAUGGACGGAAGUCUGACGGAGCGACGCCGCGUGGAUGACGAAGGCCGAAAGGUUGUAAAGUUCUUUUGCUGGGGAAGAAUAACCGCAGGAGGGAAUGCCUGUGGGAUGACAAGAACCGGCGAAUAAGCCCCGGCCAACUACGUGCCAGCAGCCGCGGUAACACGUAGGGGGGCGAGCGUUGUUCGGAAUUACUGGGCGUAAAGGGCAUGUAGGCGGCUUGGAAAGCCUGGCGUGAAAGUCUGCAGCUUAACUGCAGGGGUGCGCUGGGAACUGCUGAGCUUGAGUGACGGAGAGGGAGCUGGAAUUCCUGGUGUAGGGGUGAAAUCUGUAGAUAUCAGGAAGAACACCGAUGGCGAAGGCAAGCUCCUGGCCGAUGACUGACGCUGAGGUGCGAAAGUGUGGGGAUCAAACAGGAUUAGAUACCCUGGUAGUCCACACAGUCAACGAUGUGCACUAGGUGCUGGGGCGGUAGCUUCGGUGCCGGAGCGAACGUGGUAAGUGCACCGCCUGGGGAGUAUGCUCGCAAGGGUGAAACUUAAAUGAUUGACGGGGUCAUAGCU